Molecule: unclassified non-coding RNA, 250 nt
Filed under: Diplogelasinospora grovesii
Lineage: Eukaryota; Fungi; Ascomycota; Sordariomycetes; Sordariales; Diplogelasinosporaceae
Description: partial internal transcribed spacer region
Rfam family: Eukaryotic small subunit ribosomal RNA (bases 1-46)
Source: RNAcentral
AAGUCGUAACAAGGUCUCCGUUGGUGAACCAGCGGAGGGAUCAUUACAGAGUUACCAAGCUCACCAAAACCAUCGCGAACGUUACCCGUACCGUUGCCUCGGCGGGCGGCUCCGUCCCGGAGCCGCAGCCCCCUCACCGGGGCGGCCCGCCGGAGGUCAGCCGGAGAAAAACUCUUUGUCCUCUAGGGCCUCUCUGAGUAUUUUUGUACUAAACAAGUCAAAACUUUCAACAACGGAUCUCUUGGUUCUG